GAACCUUACCAGGCUUUGACAUGCAGGAGACCGGUGUGAAAGGCACCUUUCCUUUCGGGACUGCUGCACAGGUGCUGCAUGGCUGUCGUCAGCUCGUGUCGUGAGAUGUUGCGUUAAGUCGCGCAACGAGCGCAACCCCUGUCUUUAGUUGCCAUCAGGUAAAGCUGGGCACUCUAGGGAGACAAACCCUCUUUGAGGGUGGGAAGGUGGGGAUGACGUCAAGUCAGGAUGGCCCUUACGGCCUGGGCUGCACACGUACUACAAUGCCCGGUACAGAGGGAAGCAAUACCGCGAGGUGGAGCAAAUCCUCAAAACCGGGCCCAGUUCAGAUUGUAGUCUGCAACUCGACUACAUGAAGUUGGAAUCGCUAGUAAUGGCGCAUCAGCUACGGCGCCGUGAAUACGUUCCCGGGCCUUGUCACACCGA
RNAcentral lists this ribosomal RNA (426 nucleotides) under uncultured soil bacterium. RNAcentral's name for it is "bacterial SSU rRNA". It matches the Rfam family "Bacterial small subunit ribosomal RNA", at positions 966 to 1393 of the family's 1533-position model. The record is from RNAcentral.